GACAAAGGGUCUUUAGCACGAGCGCACUGAUGCGGAAUAUUGGUUCAGUGUACAGUCAGCCACAUGUUUCAAAUUCAGAGAAUGGCUGAGGAACGUUUAUGGUUUAUAUUUCUGUGGACGUCCAUCUUAGCCACACAAGCUGGCCCCGCCGGAAGGAACUAUUUUAACGCUCUCGAUAUUCGAAAGAGUCAACAACACCCUGGAAGGAGUAUUCCAGACUGGUGAGAAGAAGGCAACAAACCCAGACAGAAUGAUGGUCCACUUUCCAAAGAUCAUGUUCACAGAAACAGAACAAGUCCAGUAUGAGAGCAGCGACAGCCACUGUGGGGUCUUUUUAAUUUCUUCAAUUGCUGGAACAAAACAUCUUGAGCUUCGUGUUUGGAAUGUUUCUGUUCACCGUGUCGACAGGAAGUGCCUUGCAUAUUUUCAUUUCAUGGCUCACAAGACAAGACAGCUAUACAAAGUACUUUAUAAUAAUACGUGUCAAAGAAUAAUACAGUGAAAAUAAAUUUCUGCCCUAUCCGUCCCAUUUCA
Molecule: unclassified non-coding RNA, 534 nt
Filed under: Rhipicephalus microplus (southern cattle tick)
Lineage: Eukaryota; Metazoa; Arthropoda; Arachnida; Ixodida; Ixodidae
Description: uncharacterized LOC119168117, transcript variant X1
Source: RNAcentral